AAGCAAUUUUAGCUACCUGGAUAGGGCUGGGACCCUCCGCGCAGGUCCCAGCCCUAAAGUUGUUUUCUUCGUGAAUUUAUAAGCUCAACAACUUUGCAGUCUUGGGUGAAUACAAAAACAACUGUCUGCUGUUGACAAAAACGAGCAAAUUUUGUGCAAGCAAAUUCUUGAAGAAUGAAAAUCCCUUUGCUUUUAGUGAGGUGGCUGUUUGCUCAUUUUUAUCGACAGCAGACGGUAAUAUUUGUUUUCGGCCAAGACUGCGAAGUUGGUCAAAUUCAAAUUUCGCGCCAGAGCUCUAGCGGCGGGAGCUGAAAGCCGAAAUCUGGCCGAAAGGCUCGGGAAGAGCAUACAUACGUUUCACUAAUUACCUUUAGGCAAUUCGGCAGGCAUGAGUAAAUCUACAGGACUUUUCUUCGUAGCUUUUACUUGUGCCAUGUCUGUUAGUUUUCCAAAUUACACCUAAAUUGAAAAUCAAAAUAAGCCAGACACUUACUAACAGUAGCUCUUGACAUAUCUGGCUGAGCAAUUGCUUCAGCCGUUCCGCUAUUUGUGCCAUCUUUGCCCCCGCCAAAAGCUAUAAAUUGGGUUUGUACUUGGCCUCUGUACCGCGACUUCCGGUCUGUUUCCCGUUUAGUCCUCCGUUUGAUACGACUCCUUGUCUCAGAAUGGACCGAGGCAGCAUCCACACUAUCCUCGUUGAGAAUCAGAACCUCGCUAGAGCUGGUGAGAGAACGCUGAUUUCGUAAUAUUGGAUCGUUAGGCUGAAUCUUCGGCUGAUGGCUGGAGGAUAGCACUUGAUGACUCGUUUCGUGACACCUUUUCCCGAAUAAGACAAGUGAAACACAUUUGUAGAUCUUCUUUUUGAGGUUGACCAAUUAUUUUGACGUUGUUGCGACCUGUGGCAUUUGAUUUUCUUUCGCGUGCAAAAAUCCUAUAAAAUUCAAGAAAAUUAUAUCUAUUUCUAGUUCCUUGUGCCAUGACGUAUCCUGUUCUUACGAUUACUUUCAUAGUUUUUUUGGAAACUGCCUCUUGUCAAGUCACGGGACAAGUCAAUAAUAGAGGACGGUCAAAUUGGUGCUCAAUAGCGUGCUUCCGUCAGCCGCAGUUUGCCGUACACUCGCCCCCAUCUUACGCUUCGCCCCCCAACACGCAAGUAGGGAGGUUUGGGGGAAAUGGAAAUGGAAAUGGAAAUGGAUCUCAAGGAAGCAGCCCCUCGUCAAUACCAGGAUCAACUGUGUACUACCCUACAGGGAGGGAUCUAGAGGAGUUCAUGCGAAAGUACCCACACAAUUCGGGCGAACUUUCAAUGUAUUAUGGUGAUCAAGGGGCCAGUUCAUCUUCAGGCCCGAAAGUUUCAUCUCCAAGGCUAUCCAAGCUCAAACCCAGCCUUAGCUUCGGCAGCUCCUCCUCAAGAGGAAGCCCUGGCCCCGAAUAUGACAGGCUACUGUGGGAUUGCUGGAACGAUUGCAUCUUGUACCAUGGUUACUUCAGAAAGUCAACUUAUAUAAACCAAGCAGGCCAGACAAUGAAGCGGAUAGCGGAUCCAAAGCUGAUCAAGCGGGAAUCAGCUCUCUCUCGAAAUCUGAGUUUUGGGACCCUCAGGAUCAUGGAUCCUUUUCAUGGAAAAGGUGUUGGUGGUGGCGACUUCCUCCCAAAAGGGAGAGGGGGAGGCACAUCAUCUAGAAGUGAUUCUUCUAAAGAGUCGUCUCCGCGGUUCCCAACCCCCAGGGCCGAUCCCAAGAAUAAAAGUCCAUGGAUAUGCUUUUGCAAGCUUUCUGAGGAGUUGAUUGAUGUUCUAAAGGCCCAUAAAAGAGACUUCAAAUCAUUCGUGAAAGACAACAGACUCUUGGAGGAAAAGCUCCACGCAUUCCUCGAGUCAUAUCGGUAUGACAUAGUUCCUUUCAGUCAACUCGUGACAAAAGCAGAAGCGAGUCUGCUUGGCAACAAUGUGCAAACUAUUUGAGGCGGCAAAGACUUUGAAUUCAGUUCAACGUAGGUAUCAGUAUCAAAACCCAGUCGUCGCCGACCAUAGGAUUGUCAAAAUGUUUAAAAAAUUUGACAACUUCCUCGAUAAUCUUUUUUUUAAUGUCAAGUGAGCCAACACCUUUAGAUCACUGAGCUAAUCUGAACCAAUCUGGCUGUAUAAUAAAUCUUUUUCACUAAUAACGUGAUUUUUUGUUUUUAUAUCUUGGACUAAUUGCGCAAUGCUUAUAGAAGUACACUAAAAGCGUGGCAUCUGUAAGCACAGUCGUAUCUUGUUAUAACGUUUCACUAGAUAACUUUGCUCGAAAUAAAACAUUUUCCCGGCAACAAUGUUCAUUUUAUCAAGUCCAGGCCGGCUAUUAAGCGCUCAGCCGAUAGGCAGCGCUUUUUGAUUUCGACUUGCCUCUAGAAUACUGCCGUGCUUACUGGUUAGGUUGCGUAAACCCGCGGCUGAUGCAUGUAUCAUCACCCAUUGAAUCGUGGGUAAUUUUAAAGCCGUUCCUGUGGCGGGAAGGUAGUUGAAAUUAUGAAUCAUCAUAGCAAAUUAAUCAGAUCAUUUAAGCUGUUGGAUCACUUGAUUUAAUCGAUCCCGUAUCGAACUGAGUAGAAAUUUCAUUACUUGAUUAGUUGAAAUCUGUGAAUCAUUUCGCAAAUCCCUCUUUUGUUCAGACCAAACUGCUGUUUAAAAUUUUUCCAUAAAAUUACACGUGCAAGUAUGAAGAAACCGUCGUCUUCGGUUCGAUUACUUCUAAUUGGUCAAUACCUUGAUUUGAGCGUUUCUGAUUGGUCUAUCGUUUGCGGAAUGUUACUGUGCAUUUAUGAUGACGUGCUCCACGACAGCUUAUUCAAUCCCCUAUCAAUACUGUAGUCUUUAAGUUGUAUCAUGUACUUCCUUGUGUAAAGCUUAUUUUUAAAUAAUGGUCAAUUGAAGGUGGCGUAAAUCGAGUGUUUACAUCAUAAACCUAAUUUUAAUUGAAGUCAAGGUGUCAUUAAUCAUUGAAAACCCCUUAAUCGAAUCAUUUCGUGUUAGUGACAGUUCUUGAUUAAAAAAAUGUUGCUCUUGAGAAGCCGCCAUUACCCCACCUCAAAUUUUAAAAAUGAAAAUCAAGAAAUAAUUACCAUCGCACAAGGUGAAAAAUUGCUCUGGAGGAUUCGUGCUGACAAAGAAGCCAAAAUCAGAACUCGAUUGAUUGAUUUAAUUCAUGAAUAUGCAAAUAUUGGAUCAGCUCUAAUUCCGCGAUAGCGAAUGCAUCAGUUAAAUAUUCUUUUUUCUGGCCCCCCUCAACAGCCGUGAUACCUCGGUUGGUUGCGCCCCUUACGCUUACUCCCGCUCAUGAGAGAUGGGCAACCUGAGUUCGAUUCUCGCUGACGAGGAAAAAUUUUUACUGAUUGUAAUGAAUGUUUUAGACCAUUAUUCAAUCCCUCAUCAAUACUGUAGUCAAAUUUAAGUUGUAUCAUUUACUUCCUUGUGUAAAGCUUAUUUUUAAAAAAUGGUCAAUUGAAGGUGGCGUAAAUCGAGUGUUUACAUCAUAUACCUAAUUUUAAUUGAAGUCAAGGUGUCAUUAAUCAUUCAAAACCCCUUAAUCGAAUAAUUUCGUGUUAAAGCAGUUCAGAAGAAGAACCAACUUGAUUAUGAAUCAUGCCGCGCUUAUCCAACACCUCGUGUUGGACUUUCCUGCUUGUUUUUUCCGUACAAUUUUAAAACAAAUAAAGCUGUGAAAACCGUAUUUCAUGCUUUUUACGUAAUGCGCGGGUAGUUUCGAAUGCUUUUCUAAAAGAAAAUGCUUUAGCGGUAGAGUAAUUCUUAUCGAAAUUGAUCGUUGAAAAUUUGACGAGCGGAAUAAAACUCGCCUGAUGAGCUCAACGGUGGCUAUCAUUUUCGGGAAACGAAAAAACUCGUUUACAUAGACAAUAUUGCGCUCCCUUCAUUACUUUACUAAUGUGGAAGAUUGUUCCCAAGUUCUGUUGUGUACGGCGUGUAGUAGCACAAGCACCUUGCGUCAGUGUCACUCUCAUUGGUUUUCGUUGUGUACGGCGUGUAGUAUCACACGCACCUUUCGUCAGUGUCACUCUCAUUGGUUGUCAGCGAUAAACCGAAUCUGAAGAUUAAUUUACGUUGACACAACUCAUUGCCAGAUAGUGUCUCUCUUCUGUGAGUUCCUCUGUGAAAGUUCCAUUCCUUGGUUUCCUUGGUAACCUUUGUUUGCCAUCAGCUGAUGUUUUAUUUUCAUUUCCCUGCUAAGUCGACGGAUUUUAUACUUCCUUUUUUUUUUUUAAAUCAUUGCUAGGUUAGUUCUAGUUUUUUUGCCAGCUACCCUCCCGGCUCAUUUUUCUAACUCCCGCAGCCCCCCUCCCCCAUUCAUUUUAUUUAUAUUUUUUUUCUUAUGGCAUGCCUUGCUCCCCUACCACCAUUUUUUCGGGGUUUCAUUCAUAGGGAUAAAAUAUUGUAUUGUCUGUAGAUCUUCGAUAUAUCGUUCGAUGUAAAGCAGGAUAUAGACAGGGAUAAGAUGGAAUUUAUUGAUAUUAACAAUAUUAAUAAUAUAUUAACAAUAUUAUUAAUCAAUUACAGUGGCGUGGCGUGAAUGAUCGAUUAUCGAUAUUUCCCCAUCUGAAUCCGUGGUAAAUAAUCGAUUAUUAAGGUGUUCGCUGCGAACACCCAGUUAAUCGAUCCAUUUCCAUGGGUUUAAAUGACAAAUCAAUCGAUAUAUCGCAAAGCACGCCACGCCACUGAUCAUUUAUUAACAAUGUAAAUUCAGAAGGGCAAAUAAAGAAAUGUGUAACUAUAUAAAAUUUGUAUUCUUCACUAAACACACAGACUAACACCUGAGCGCUUUUCUAAUACGACAGUAUUAGAACUUUCCCGCUUGUUUCUCAUUGAGCUGUUUUCUGAAAUAAUGUUUCUCCGGAAACAGCAUCCUAUUUUUAAUGCCCC
RNAcentral lists this long non-coding RNA (4915 nucleotides) under Bemisia tabaci. RNAcentral describes it as "lncRNA ENSSSA1NGG009810". The record is from RNAcentral. Lineage: Eukaryota; Metazoa; Arthropoda; Insecta; Hemiptera; Aleyrodidae.